Molecule: microRNA precursor, 81 nt
Organism: Ictidomys tridecemlineatus (thirteen-lined ground squirrel)
Lineage: Eukaryota; Metazoa; Chordata; Mammalia; Rodentia; Sciuridae
Source: Ensembl
GGGUACCUGAGGAGAGGUUGUCUGUGAAGAGUUCGCUUUAUUAAUGACGAAUAUAACACAGAUGGCCUGUUUUCAGUACCA